Molecule: ribosomal RNA, 492 nt
Filed under: uncultured bacterium
Lineage: Bacteria
Description: partial 16S ribosomal RNA
Rfam family: Bacterial small subunit ribosomal RNA
Source: RNAcentral
AGUGAACGCUGGCGGUAGGCCUAACACAUGCAAGUCGAACGGCAGCACAGUAAUCGCUUGCUCUUACGGGUGGCGAGUGGCGGACGAGUGAGGAAUACAUCGGAAUCUACUUUUUCGAGGGGGAUAACGUAGGGAAACUUACGCUAAUACCGCAUACGACCUACGGGUGAAAGCAGAGGAUCUUCGGACCUUGCGCGAUUGAAUGAGCCGAUGUCGGAUUAGCUAGUUGGCGGGGUAAAGGCCCACCAAGGCGACGAUCCGUAGCUGGUCUGAGAGGAUGACCAGCCACACUGGGACUGAGACACGGUCCAGACUCCUACGGGAGGCAGCAGUGGGGAAUUUUGGACAAUGGGCGCAAGCCUGAUCCAGCCAUACCGCGUGCGUGAAGAAGGCCUUCGGGUUGUAAAGCCCUUUUGUUGGGAAAGAAAACCAGCAGGUUAAUACCCCGCUGUUAUGACGGUACCCAAAGAAUAAGCACCGGCUAACUUCGUG